GCCAACGCCGCCGUCCCGAGCACAGGACCGAUGUGAGGCCGAAGCCAGACGGCUUGCUUCCCACGUCCGGGGCCGAGUGAAUACGUGUCAAGCCCUUUUCCUUCUCCUUCUCGGAACAGCACCUUCUUACUAAACAGAUCGGAGAUUGGACCAGGAGGGCGGGGGAGGGAGGAGGAUCAUGAGCUGGGGGGAGGGUAAACGAGUGGCGGAAACCCUUAGGCUCAGAGAAGCAUCGAGAACCGGAAGGAGACCAUGGGAGGAAGGUAAAGGAAGCAGCCGCUGCGCGAUCCAGCCCCACGCCCCUCCCCACAGCGUCCCCCAGUUUCCUCACUUGGUAUCAAGGAGACGACUCUCGCGAGAACUUCGUGGCCGGCUAACCGAAGCGGUAGCUCUGCAAUGACUUAAGAGCAGUUUUGUGCGCUUUUCUUGACGGGGUUCCGCCCCCAAAAUGCAUAAGUUCUCGCGAGACGCAGUAAGGCACCGGCUCGAACUGGGGCGGGCCACUGCCAGGAACGCAACGCCCCUGAAUGCUUAUGCCGGUGGUUGGAAGAGGAAAUGGAAUUCCCCGGAUUGGGUUUCACCAUAUUGCCCAGGCUUGUCUUGAACUCCUGGGAUCAAGCAACCUGCCCGCCUCGGCUUCCCAAAGUGCCAUGAUUACAGUGUGAGCUACCGCACCCGGCCUCAUACGAUUUUGAAUAAGGCAUUUGCUUUAUGCUUUACAAGGUACUAGUAGUAAAAACUGUUUAGAGUGAUGUACAUAAAGAACAGUUCAGACACAAAUGUAAGACCUGAAGCUAUAAAACUACUAGAAGAAAACAGGAAAACCACUUCAGGACAUUGGGUCUAGGCAAAGAUUUUAUGGCUAAGACCUCAAAAGCACAAACAGCAAAGACAAAAAUAGCCAAAUUGGACUAUAUUAAACUAAAAAGCUCAGCAAAGGAAACAGCAGAGUGAAGAGAUAACCUGUUGUAUGGAAGAAAAUAUUUACAAACUAUUAAUCCAACAAGGGACUAAUGUCGAGAGUAUACAAGGAACUUAAAAGUAAAAAAAAAAUAACCCCAUUAAAAGUGGGCAAGGGAUGUGAAUAGACAUUUCUCAGAAGAAGACACAAAUGCCCAAUAAGUAUAUGAAAAAUGCGUAAUAUCACUAAUCAUCAGAAAGAUGCAAAUGAAAACCACAGUAAGGUAUCACCUAUGACAGAGUGGUUAUUAUGAAAAUAACAGAUGCUGGUAAGGAUGCAGAAGAAAUUCUUUUAUACUGUCAGUGGGAUUGUAAAUUAAUACAGCCUCUAUGGAAACACAGUAUUUCUCAAAAAACUAAAAGAACUGCCAUAUGAUCUGUCAAUCCCACUAAUGGGUAUUUAUUCAAAGGAAAAGAAAUCAGUUCAAUGCAGCACUAUUCACAGUGGCAAAGAACAGAAUCAACUUACGUGUCCGUCAACAGAUGAAUGGAUAAAGAAAAUGUGUUACCUAUGCACAAUGAAUACUAUCGGCCACAAAAAAGAAUGAAAUCAUUUCCUCUGCGGAAACAUGGAAGCACCUCUUGACUUGCUACUGGUACCUGGAAGAGAUGUAACACCUGACCAUGGGACAUCAAGUGACUGUGUGAAUCAAACUGCCCAUCAUGAAUUGUUGUUAUUUGACUCAUCAAACUGUACAACUGGAUGAACACAGGAGCAGUGCACUACAUAUGGGACUGGAACCAUGAAUGAGCAGGUGACUCAGACUCCUAUAGUACCUGCCUCUACUCCUUCAGCACUUCUCCCUCAACCCACAUAAACUGUCAUCAUAAUGAGUUCCCUCUGACCAGUUAAUGGAAGAGAAAAAAGUAUGGAUGUUGUGGAUAUCCUAACAUAUUUCUGGCCAUUGGACCCCUAGAAACCUGUGGCAAGUCCUGGAAGUUUUUCAAGGUUCAUCUUGCACCUUCUAGCAUGCAUAUGUCGUACCAAAGCAUGUAGAAUGCUGCCUACUUCUGCUCUUCAGUUUCAUUUAAUAUAAUUUCAUUACUCUAAUAAAUCAGUGUGAUGUUCUAUGGAAUAACAAGACCAUCAAGGUCCCUUCAUACCAUAUAGAGAACAGGAGAGUUGAUGUAGCCUGAGACAAGACAGUAAGGACUUACUGUUAUCCCUCCUAUUUAAACGUAGUCUGUUUCUGAUUCUCCUUAGAAUGGGGGUGGGGGGACAUUUCCAGAUCAAUAUCAAAUCAGUAUCAUGUCAACAUGGGUAUUAAUUUCUUCCAAAGAAGAUACCACACCUAGAACAGCAACCAUAAUUGGCAUCCCUACCUAAUUAAAGUUUGCAGUCCACUGUCAUUCUUCA
This is a long non-coding RNA of Gorilla gorilla gorilla (western lowland gorilla), 2317 nucleotides long. RefSeq lists it as uncharacterized. The record is from RefSeq and is a predicted model, not a curated record. NCBI's taxonomy places the organism in Eukaryota, Metazoa, Chordata, Mammalia, Primates, Hominidae. The transcript has 3 exons.